GAUGAACGCUGGCGGCGUGCCUAAUACAUGCAAGUCGAGCGAACAGACGAGGAGCUUGCUCCUCUGACGUUAGCGGCGGACGGGUGAGUAACACGUGGAUAACCUACCUAUAAGACUGGGAUAACUUCGGGAAACCGGAGCUAAUACCGGAUAAUAUAUUGAACCGCAUGGUUCAAUAGUGAAAGACGGUUUUGCUGUCACUUAUAGAUGGAUCCGCGCCGCAUUAGCUAGUUGGUAAGGUAACGGCUUACCAAGGCAACGAUGCGUAGCCGACCUGAGAGGGUGAUCGGCCACACUGGAACUGAGACACGGUCCAGACUCCUACGGGAGGCAGCAGUAGGGAAUCUUCGGCAAUGGGCGAAAGCCUGACGGAGCAACGCCGCGUGAGUGAUGAAGGUCUUCGGAUCGUAAAACUCUGUUAUUAGGGAAGAACAAAUGUGUAAGUAACUAUGCACGUCUUGACGGUACCUAAUCAGAAGGCCACGGCUAACUACGUG
This 497-nucleotide ribosomal RNA is filed under the name uncultured bacterium. Its description in RNAcentral is "partial 16S ribosomal RNA". It matches the Rfam family "Bacterial small subunit ribosomal RNA", at positions 28 to 507 of the family's 1533-position model. The record is from RNAcentral.